GUCCGUGGCUGGCGCAGCGGGCUCCAUGGUGGGAUGCCGCAGGCCGAGAGGGGCAGUGUGUGCGCAGCCGCCUGCACCGACGCCUCCGCCAGCUUCCAUCCGCCUCCCCAGGCCAACUCGCUGCGGCGCCGCAUUUGGGGACACCUAAAAUCCGUUCUCCGAUUGGAUGUGCCUGCAGGAGACCACGGGACACAAUGAGAUGUUUGUCUAAGAGGAAGGUUUGUCAUUUUUCAAAAAGCAGAGAGACACGUGUCUCCACCUAAGAAGAUGAGGAAGUGUUCACUGUGUCUCUUUACUCAUUUCAGAGGUAUCGUACCUUGAUACGAGAAUGAACUGUGUAUCUGUAUUUGUCUUUCUGGUGUGCACCCUGGAUGAUGGGUUGGAGUUUGUUUGCUCUGGAGCUGACAGUUUGACGUCCAGGUUCAACAGCCAAUAACCUGAUUAGUGUUACUAAUUUUUUUUCUGGUUUUAAAAUUUUACUUAUU
Long non-coding RNA from Aethalodelphis obliquidens (Pacific white-sided dolphin), 485 nucleotides. RefSeq lists it as uncharacterized. Lineage: Eukaryota; Metazoa; Chordata; Mammalia; Artiodactyla; Delphinidae. The record is from RefSeq and is a predicted model, not a curated record. The transcript has 3 exons.